AGACCCGAAACCCGGUGAUCUAGCCAUGGGCAGGUUGAAGGUUGGGUAACACUAACUGGAGGACCGAACCGACUAAUGUUGAAAAAUUAGCGGAUGACCUGUGGCUGGGGGUGAAAGGCCAAUCAAACCGGGAGAUAGCUGGUUCUCCCCGAAAGCUAUUUAGGUAGCGCCUCGUGAAUUCAUCUCCGGGGGUAGAGCACUGUUUCGGCUAGGGGGCCAUCCCGGCUUACCAACCCGAUGCAAACUGCGAAUACCGGAGAAUGUUAUCACGGGAGACACACGGCGGGUGCUAACGUCCGUCGUGAAGAGGGAAACAACCCAGACCGCCAGCUAAGGUCCCAAAGUCAUGGUUAAGUGGGAAACGAUGUGGGAAGGCCCAGACAGCCAGGAUGUUGGCUUAGAAGCAGCCAUCAUUUAAAGAAAGCGUAAUAGCUCACUGGUCGAGUCGGCCUGCGCGGAAGAUGUAACGGGGCUAAACCAUGCACCGAAGCUGCGGCAGCGACACUGUGUGUUGUUGGGUAGGGGAGCGUUCUGUAAGCCUGUGAAGGUGGCCUGUGAGGGUUGCUGGAGGUAUCAGAAGUGCGAAUGCUGACAUAAGUAACGAUAAAGCGGGUGAAAAGCCCGCUCGCCGGAAGACCAAGGGUUCCUGUCCAACGUUAAUCGGGGCAGGGUGAGUCGACCCCUAAGGCGAGGCCGAAAGGCGUAGUCGAUGGGAAACGGGUUAAUAUUCCCGUACUUGGUGUUACUGCGAAGGGGGGACGGAGAAGGCUAUGUUGGCCGGGCGACGGUUGUCCCGGUUUAAGCGUGUAGGUGUGUGUUCCAGGUAAAUCCGGUUCACUUUAACACUGAGGCGUGACGACGAGGCACUACGGUGCUGAAGCAACAAAUGCCCUGCUUCCAGGAAAAGCCUCUAAGCAUCAGGUAACAUCAAAUCGUACCCCAAACCGACACAGGUGGUCAGGUAGAGAAUACCAAGGCGCUUGAGAGAACUCGGGUGAAGGAACUAGGCAAAAUGGUGCCGUAACUUCGGGAGAAGGCACGCUGACACGUAGGUGAAGUGAUUUACUCAUGGAGCUGAAGUCAGUCGAAGAUACCAGCUGGCUGCAACUGUUUAUUAAAAACACAGCACUGUGCAAACACGAAAGUGGACGUAUACGGUGUGACGCCUGCCCGGUGCCGGAAGGUUAAUUGAUGGGGUCAGCGCAAGCGAAGCUCCUGAUCGAAGCCCCGGUAAACGGCGGCCGUAACUAUAACGGUCCUAAGGUAGCGAAAUUCCUUGUCGGGUAAGUUCCGACCUGCACGAAUGGCGUAAUGAUGGCCAGGCUGUCUCCACCCGAGACUCAGUGAAAUUGAACUCGCUGUGAAGAUGCAGUGUACCCGCGGCAAGACGGAAAGACCCCGUGAACCUUUACUAUAGCUUGACACUGAACAUUGAGCCUUGAUGUGUAGGAUAGGUGGGAGGCUUUGAAGUGUGGACGCCAGUCUGCAUGGAGCCGGCCUUGAAAUACCACCCUUUAAUGUUUGAUGUUCUAACGUGGACCCGU
RNAcentral lists this ribosomal RNA (1544 nucleotides) under Salmonella enterica. RNAcentral describes it as "partial 23S ribosomal RNA". It matches the Rfam family "Bacterial large subunit ribosomal RNA", at positions 711 to 2236 of the family's 2925-position model. The record is from RNAcentral. Lineage: Bacteria; Pseudomonadati; Pseudomonadota; Gammaproteobacteria; Enterobacterales; Enterobacteriaceae.